RNAcentral lists this ribosomal RNA (472 nucleotides) under uncultured soil bacterium. Its description in RNAcentral is "bacterial SSU rRNA". It matches the Rfam family "Bacterial small subunit ribosomal RNA", at positions 26 to 488 of the family's 1533-position model. The record is from RNAcentral.
AGAUUGAACGCUGGCGGCAGGCCUAACACAUGCAAGUCGAGCGGUAGAGAGGUGCUUGCACCUCUUGAGAGCGGCGGACGGGUGAGUAAAGCCUAGGAAUCUGCCUGGUAGUGGGGGAUAACGCUCGGAAACGGACGCUAAUACCGCAUACGUCCUACGGGAGAAAGCAGGGGACCUUCGGGCCUUGCGCUAUCAGAUGAGCCUAGGUCGGAUUAGCUAGUUGGUGAGGUAAUGGCUCACCAAGGCGACGAUCCGUAACUGGUCUGAGAGGAUGAUCAGUCACACUGGAACUGAGACACGGUCCAGACUCCUACGGGAGGCAGCAGUGGGGAAUAUUGGACAAGUGGGCGUAAAGCCUAGAUCCAGCCAUGCCGCGUGUGUGAAGAAGGUCUUCGGAUUGUAAAGUCUACGUUUAAGUUGGAGGAAGGUCUAAGUUAACCUAUUACGUUAGUUGUUUUGAACGUUUACCGAA